UUCUUCUUUCUUCUUCUUCUUCUUCUCUUUUUCUUUCUUUCUUUCCUCUGUUUCACGCCUGAGAACCCCCUCUCUGUGACUCUCUCUCGGUUUCAUUCCCGUGAGCCACCAACCACCCCAUUUAAAUCACAUCAAAGCACUAUUCACCUUUGUUUAAUAUUAUUAAAUUCCCAUUUUGCCCCUAACACUUCAACAUAUCUACAACUAUGCCAUUAUCUUUUGAUUCCUUCCAAUUUUACCCCUUAUAUCAAUUUUAAAGGACUAUUCUAUCCCUUUUUUAUAUAAAAAAAUAUUUUGGGGUUAUUACACAUAUGUUUGCUUAUGUUUAGGCAAUCUCUUGAGUAAAGUGACUCAACAUUCAAUUAUUAUCAUAUCUUAGGUUGAGUUACCUAGUUAAGAAAUAUGCUAUAUGAAUGCUUUGUAUCUUAAAGAAACUAAUGACCUUCCUUCAAGAAAGAAAAAUGAGAAAUUUCAACUUGAAGGAUAUCUUCAUGUAAGAUACACUAAAGAUUCACAUGCAAACAAGAGAGAGGAUCUUCUUCAGCCAAAAGUUCACUCAUAAGAAAUCUAGUUUGGCUUGAAGAACAUAUAAUGAAUAGGUA
Molecule: long non-coding RNA, 602 nt
Filed under: Phoenix dactylifera (date palm)
Lineage: Eukaryota; Viridiplantae; Streptophyta; Magnoliopsida; Arecales; Arecaceae
Description: long non-coding RNA (PDAC_LNC020717)
Source: RNAcentral